RNAcentral lists this ribosomal RNA (552 nucleotides) under Salmonella enterica. Its description in RNAcentral is "partial 23S ribosomal RNA". It matches the Rfam family "Bacterial large subunit ribosomal RNA", at positions 638 to 1191 of the family's 2925-position model. The record is from RNAcentral. RNAcentral also lists the same sequence under 2 other names. Lineage: Bacteria; Pseudomonadati; Pseudomonadota; Gammaproteobacteria; Enterobacterales; Enterobacteriaceae.
UAGCAAGGUUAACCGAAUAGGGGAGCCGGAGGGAAACCGAGUCUUAAUUGGGCGUUAAGUUGCAGGGUAUAGACCCGAAACCCGGUGAUCUAGCCAUGGGCAGGUUGAAGGUUGGGUAACACUAACUGGAGGACCGAACCGACUAAUGUUGAAAAAUUAGCGGAUGACCUGUGGCUGGGGGUGAAAGGCCAAUCAAACCGGGAGAUAGCUGGUUCUCCCCGAAAGCUAUUUAGGUAGCGCCUCGUGAAUUCAUCUCCGGGGGUAGAGCACUGUUUCGGCUAGGGGGCCAUCCCGGCUUACCAACCCGAUGCAAACUGCGAAUACCGGAGAAUGUUAUCACGGGAGACACACGGCGGGUGCUAACGUCCGUCGUGAAGAGGGAAACAACCCAGACCGCCAGCUAAGGUCCCAAAGUCAUGGUUAAGUGGGAAACGAUGUGGGAAGGCCCAGACAGCCAGGAUGUUGGCUUAGAAGCAGCCAUCAUUUAAAGAAAGCGUAAUAGCUCACUGGUCGAGUCGGCCUGCGCGGAAGAUGUAACGGGGCUAAACCAUG